This 400-nucleotide unclassified non-coding RNA is filed under the name soil metagenome. RNAcentral describes it as "partial contains 5.8S ribosomal RNA, internal transcribed spacer 2, and large subunit ribosomal RNA". The stretch from base 1 to 122 matches the Rfam family "5.8S ribosomal RNA", at positions 35 to 154 of the family's 154-position model. The record is from RNAcentral.
GAUGAAGAACGCAGCGAAAUGCGAUACUUGGUGUGAAUUGCAGAAUCCCGUGAACCAUCGAGUCUUUGAACGCAAGUUGCGCCUCAAGCCAUUAGGUUGAGGGCACGUCUGCCUGGGCGUCACAUAUCGUUGCCUGAUGCCAGUUUCCUCGUGAUGGGUGACUGUGCAGGGCGAAUGAUGGCUUCCCGUGAGCAUUGUUGCCUCAUGGUUGGUUGAAAAUUGAGUCCUUGGUAGGGAGCGCCGUGAUAGAUGGUGGUUGAGUGACGAACGAGACCCAAUCAUGUGAGACCCCUACCGAAUUUGGCCUUCAUGACCCACAUGCGUCUUUGGAACGCUCAUGACGAGACCUCAGGUCAGGCGGGGCUACCAGCUGAGUUUAAGCAUAUCAAUAAGCGGAGGA